UGCCGGCACCCCGAGUGGUCGGGACGUUUAUUGGGCCUAAAGCAUCCGUAGCCGGUUCUACAAGUCUUCCGUUAAAUCCAACUGCUUAACAGGUGGGCUGCGGAAGAUACUAUAGAGCUAGGAGGCGGGAGAGGCAAGCGGUACUCGAUGGGUAGGGGUAAAAUCCGUUGAUCCAUUGAAGACCACCAGUGGCGAAGGCGGCUUGCCAGAACGCGCUCGACGGUGAGGGAUGAAAGCUGGGGGAGCAAACCGG
RNAcentral lists this ribosomal RNA (253 nucleotides) under uncultured bacterium. RNAcentral describes it as "partial 16S ribosomal RNA". It matches the Rfam family "Archaeal small subunit ribosomal RNA", at positions 474 to 727 of the family's 1478-position model. The record is from RNAcentral.